ACAGCAGUCGCCGCGGUAAUACGAAGGGUGCAAGCGUUACUCGGAAUUACUGGGCGUAAAGCGUGCGUAGGCGGUUUGUUAAGUCUGCUGUGAAAUCCCCGGGCUCAACCUGGGAAUUGCAGUGGAUACUGGCAAGCUAGAGUGUGUCAGAGGAUGGUGGAAUUCCCGGUGUAGCGGUGAAAUGCGUAGAGAUCGGGAGGAACAUCAGUGGCGAAGGCGGCCAUCUGGGACAACACUGACGCUGAGGCACGAAAGCGUGGGGAGCAAACAGGAUUAGAGACCCGCGUAGUCCCUGUCUCUUAUAC
RNAcentral lists this ribosomal RNA (305 nucleotides) under uncultured bacterium. RNAcentral's name for it is "partial 16S ribosomal RNA". It matches the Rfam family "Bacterial small subunit ribosomal RNA", at positions 508 to 807 of the family's 1533-position model. The record is from RNAcentral.